AGCACAUCACAUGAGAAUGACUGGCUUAUCUGCGUACACGCUUCAGCUCACCCUGCUGCUCAUCAUGUCAGUCAGACACACAAGAGGCCUACCCCUCAGCCCUGCUCCUCAACCAUGGACUCCCGCCUGGUUCAACAAAUUCCUGGCCUGCUCGUCUCAGCUUCCAUGGAAUCUCUGCUCUGCUCAGCUACGGUUUUUCCCCUGCUCUACACAUCCAGCCACCAACCCCGUUCUCCACGCAGAGUCUUCCACUCUGCCCUGCUCUUUCCCGGCUCAAUAUCCCAUCCCUUCAACCCUGCAAUAAAUAUUCAUAUUUUA
This is a long non-coding RNA of Micropterus dolomieu (smallmouth bass), 318 nucleotides long. RefSeq lists it as uncharacterized. NCBI's taxonomy places the organism in Eukaryota, Metazoa, Chordata, Actinopteri, Centrarchiformes, Centrarchidae. The transcript is spliced from 3 exons. The record is from RefSeq and is a predicted model, not a curated record.